Pan troglodytes (chimpanzee) is the source of this 46-nucleotide non-coding RNA. The record is from Rfam. Lineage: Eukaryota; Metazoa; Chordata; Mammalia; Primates; Hominidae.
CAACAGGAAUUUUUAAAUUCCAUUUAAUAUUAAAAUACAAAUAACC